GAAUUAAAAAAAAAUACAUACAAUCAACAAGAAAAACUUAACAAACCUAAGCAAAACAAAUAAAAUAAACUGGAAACAAAAAAUCUAUGCCAGCAAAACAAAAAAAGGAACAACAAAAACGAAAGUGCAAGACGAGCCACUAAUGCUUGGAACAUCCAGGAAGAACAUGCCAACUCCCCCGCUAUCAGACCUACAAUCUCAACAAACUUUCAUACAAUUAUUUGAAAAUCGAUUUGUAAAAUUCUAAUUUUUUACAUUACUUUAAAUCUAUUUAAAAUUCUGGCAACAUGCAUUUACUUAACAUAUUACACAGCUGUUUUUGACGUUUAUAAUUUUGUAGAACUACCAUUAAAACGCAAUGUGGCAACUUUAUUUAAUCAUAUUUUAAUGAUAUGGCAAUAACAUACUACAUAUGUAUUUGCAAAACCAAUCGUAAACAGAAAACAAAACUGAUUUAAUUCAUUUUUUUCUUGCUUUACACACGGAAAUAAUAAAUCUAAUCUAAUAAAUAAUUAAGACAUUGUUCAGACGGUCGCGUGAUAAAGAAAUUGUGUGCUGCAUUAAAGCAAAAAAUGCUGUAUAAACAAAGCAACAAAAUUGCAAAAAAAGUGAAAGAAGAAAGUUAAAUGAAAUAAUUUAGUAAUUAUUUAUGAAAAAACUGUAAUCAAGUCUAUGCAAUAUGAAAAAUAAGAAAAUAAUAUAAUGCACAAGAAAAUAAUUUGAAGGUCGCUUUUUAGUUUGUGUUUUUUGUGUUCUUUGCUUGUAAAUAAAACUACUCUCUUUUACCCAGACUUUAUUGUUGUUGUUGCGGUUCUCUUCAUACAUACUGCAAUAAGAAAAGUACUUGAUUUAUUGUUGUUAUUAUUAUAUUAUUAUUAUUGCAAAGAAGGUUUUGGGCGAUGGUGGUGGUGGUAAGUAAGAAAUAAACAAAUGCAAUAAGAAUUUAAUAAAUAAUUACAAAAUUGUACAAUAAUUGUGUUUUUGGAGCAAAUUAAGUGUUCUAAUCCAGCUGAUUUUUAGAGUUUUUUUUUUACUACCUUGUAGCAUUUUACGUUCUGAGUGCAGUGAUGGAAAAAAAAUUAUCCGCUCUAUUAGGGUCCGGGAGUUACGGGCCUCCAAAGUUUUGAUAUAUAAUUGCAUAUAUCUUGAUCAAUGAUAAACGGAUAUGGUCGAUAUGGGUAUCAUUGGAAAG
This is a long non-coding RNA of Lucilia cuprina (Australian sheep blowfly), 1192 nucleotides long. RefSeq lists it as uncharacterized. The transcript is spliced from 2 exons. Lineage: Eukaryota; Metazoa; Arthropoda; Insecta; Diptera; Calliphoridae. The record is from RefSeq and is a predicted model, not a curated record.